This 210-nucleotide unclassified non-coding RNA is filed under the name Hevea brasiliensis (rubber tree). The record is from RNAcentral. Lineage: Eukaryota; Viridiplantae; Streptophyta; Magnoliopsida; Malpighiales; Euphorbiaceae.
CUGGUGUUGGCAUGGUUUUUCUCCCCAAAGAUGAUGGUCAUAAUAAAGAGGCAAAAGAAGUUAUUGCAAGUAUCUUUAGACAAGAAGGUCUUGAGGUGCUUGGUUGGAGGCCUGUUCCUGUGAAAGCUUCUGUGGUUGGUAUUAAUGCAAAGAAGACCAUGCCUAACAUUGAGCAGGUAUUCGUCCAAGUAGUUAAAGAAGAGAAUGUGG